UACGGGGGGAGCAAGCGUUGUUCGGAUUUACUGGGCGUAAAGGGCGCGUAGGCGGCGCGACAAGUCACUUGUGAAAUCUCCGGGCUUAACUCGGUAGAGGCCAAGUGAUACUGUCGUGCUUGAGUGCGGAAGGGGCAACCGGAAUUCUUGGUGUAGCGGUGAAAUGCGUAGAUAUCAAGAGGAACACCUGCGGCGAAGGCGGGUUGCUGGGCCGACACUGACGCUGAGGCGCGAAAGCUAGGGGAGCGAACGGG
Molecule: ribosomal RNA, 254 nt
Filed under: uncultured bacterium
Lineage: Bacteria
Description: partial 16S ribosomal RNA
Rfam family: Bacterial small subunit ribosomal RNA
Source: RNAcentral